Molecule: long non-coding RNA, 791 nt
Filed under: Homo sapiens (human)
Lineage: Eukaryota; Metazoa; Chordata; Mammalia; Primates; Hominidae
Description: HSALNT0369727
Source: RNAcentral
CUUACUUUGUCUGCUGCCAUGUGAGCUGUGCCUUUCACCUUCCACCAUGAUUGUGAAGCCUUCCCAGACAUGUGACACAACCUCUGACUAUGUGAAGAUACGGUGGGAAGAUGACUGACCGCAAGACAGGAAGAGAGCCCUCACCGAGGAACCAAAUUGGCCAGUAUCUUGAUUUUGGAUUUCUCAACCUCAAGAACCAUGAGAAAUGAAUGUCUGCUGUUCAAGCCACCCAGUCAAUGAAAAAGUUUGGAAACCUUCAUCUAGAAAGUGGUCUAGCAAAGUGUGGUCCAUGGAUGAGUUUGAUCUGCAAACUGCUUGUUAUUGGUUCAUGACAAGAAUUGGUUCCAAACAGUAAAGCCGCCAGAAAAAACAGACAAACUCUUAGGAACAACAAUGCCCAUUAUGUGUGGAGUAGAAGCUGCCAGACUUUGAUUACUGGCCAGAGAUUAACCCCUUUGGUGUCUUAGGGGGGAAAAUGCCAAGUCUGAAUCCAGACAUUUCCAGGAUUUUACAGUCAUUCAUGGUAUGAGACCAGGCGAUUUAUAAUGACUUGUGCAAAAAAAAAAAGACUAUUGGGAGAAGGAAGUGCAAGUCAAAGGCCACGGCUCCUUGCUUCCUGAAUUCUGCCAUGACUAAUUCCAGCAAGCGGACAUAGACCUGAUCACCUCUGCUUUUCCCUUUGCUAGCCUGCCUGGUCAUGGAUGAGAAGCACGCUGCUCUUGCUACCUUCAUGUGGUGGUUUGGGUCCUGAAACAUCCACCUAUUUUCAGAAUAAACUAAAAUAAUUUCUU